CGAUCAUUUUUUAUCCCGAACCCUUCUCCCAACUCCUCAUCUCACGCGGCCUUCUCCAUCCAACUCCUCUCCGGCGAACCACUCCUCCGAACUCCUCUCCGUCAAGACCACACCUUCGUCAAGCGGCAGAUCCCGGUGCUGAGGCGAUCAACCACGAUAGAUCGACCCCUCUCUUCGCCUCCUUCGCCCCUGACGAAGCCUCUCUUCCCUCCGGCGAACGUUCACUGCACUUAGGGUAGAGCAGGCGCAUCAACUCUCUUCUUCAUCUGCAUCACCAAGCUACCCUUUGCUUAGCCGAUUCCCUUGCUAUUGGGUUCACCUGCAAGUAAUCCUCGCGCACUGAUCUCUUCUCGCUAUCAGAAGGUCCUUUCUUAGGUUCUUCUCCACUGAUUAUCUUCUCUUGUCGUUCUUUGUUUACUCGGUAAUGUUGAACUUGAGCUCUUGGGGAUCUUAGUUAAUGGUUGCCUGUGGGUGGGAAAGUUGCUCUUUUUUUGUCUUCUUGUUGUAGUGCUUUAGGGCUUUGUUUCUGAGGUGAUGGUUCUUGGUGUUAGGGAUUCUUGGUGAUCUAUUUUCUCCCUUGUGAUCGGCAGUUUUGAUGGAUAUACAUUGUUUCUUUAAUUCUUUCAGGUGUCAGUUAAACUUCGAAUUGUAGAGCAAGUUUUCCUUUUAAUUCUGUCUAUUGUUGGUUCAGGAUAGAUUCUAAACAUGAGCCGUGUCUUUCAAGAGAAGAAUGUAAGUGAUCAAUAUAAUUGUUCGGAUAGAUGGGUGAAAUUAUUUCAUCUACUGUAUGAUUUUAGAUGAGAAUGAUGGUGGAAUUACAUGCAAAGCCUUUCCCUUGCUGAUACAAAAUCCAUUUGCAUCUUAUCAUAUGCUUCUGAAACCAAAAAAAAAAAUGGAAAAGAAGGCUUAUAUAGUUAUAUAACAGAACAAUUCAAUCUUGUGAAAUAUACUUGCAUUCCAAAAGAACCUGUGCCCUCUAGCAAGACCUUCUGCAUGGCUUCCAACUCAAUUGUCCUGUCUUCUAUUUCCUGUAUGCAUGAAGUAGUGUCAUGACACUGAUACCUGAAAACUUGUGUCAGUGUUUAUGCACAUUCAAUUGGACCUUGGUUCUAUUGAUUGCAAAUCGAAGUUGCCCAAGUUCAGUUUGUAGGUGAUCAAAGAACUCUUUGUUUAAUCUGCAGUGAUUGUGUCAAAUAAGUUACAAGAUGAUAUAAGAGAUAAACCUUGUUCUAGAGCUAUCAUAAGAUGAUUGUAGCAAUUUGCUGGUGUAUUAUACUAUUAAAUCUAUCUAUCCUUGGGGAUCGCCUCAAUCAUCCUUUUUCACAAUAGUCUUUUCUUCUGUUUUUACCUCAAUAUUAUGUACUAAGUUUUUAGCAAAGAUAACUGGGGAGACCUUGAAACUACAAGAACCUUCCCUUGUUAAGACCUUGAAACUACAAGAACCUUCCCUUGUUAAGACCUUGAAACUACAAGAACCUUCCCUUGUUAGUUUUCUACACCUGAAUUUGUCACUGUUAAGAAUUGAUUAGGAUACUAAAUUCACAAAGUUGUCAAGUAAAGGUGCAACACAUAUUUUAUGAUCCGACAAGGUUGGACAUUUGCUAACAACUCCUUCAUGAUCAUGCUUGAUUAGGCUUCAAUCAUGAGACAAGAGUGCAGAAAGCAAGAGAGCAUGCUUACAGUGCAUAUAGAAUAAUAGAACCAAACAGCAAGGCCAGAAGAAAUGAAGAGAGAAGUCUAUUUUGAUUGUGUUGCCAAUUAUAUCACAAAGAUAUGUACAACGACAAUACUGCAAGCUACUUGAAAUUAUUUCACAGGUCUAUAUCAAUUGGGUCUUCAGUUUAUCAUUUGGAAUUACAUGCAAAGCCUGCUAUUUUCACUUUUAAUCUAUUUGAAACUUGUGAUAUUUAAUCUUUGUUGUUUACAUAUCUUGUUUGUCAUAAUCAAACUAUUUUUGUUCCAACUUGUUUCACAUAUAGCUGCCAGUAUUUGCUUCUAAUGCUUGUUAUUUACAUAUCUUGUUUCUCAUAAUCAGAUUUUUCCCUCUAAAUUGUUUCAUACAUAUCUUCCCAGUCUUACUUGCAGUAGAAGGUAACAUAUUAGUGUUUUAUUGAUUUAACACAACUGUUUGUGUUGUAAUUUAGAUGACUAGACUUCUGGACAUACUGGAAGAUUACUUGCUAUACCGUGGUUACCAAUAUUGAUUGAUGGGAAUACUGGGGGAGAAGAACGGGAUGCUUCCAUUGAAACAUUUAAUCAACCUGGAAGCCAAAAGUUCAUUUUCUUACUUUCUACAAGAGCUGGUGGAUUGGGAAUUAAUCUUGCUACAGCAGAUGUUGUCAUUCUCUAUGAUAGUGACUGGAAUCCACAAGUUGAUUUGCAAGCACAGGAUCGUGCUCAUAGAAUUGGGCAAAAGAAAGAAGUUCAAGUGUUCCGUUUCUGUACUGAGUUUGCAAUUGAGGACAAAGUGAUAGAGAGAGCAUACAAGAAGCUUGCACUUGAUGCCUUGGUUAUUCAACAAGGACGAUUAGCAGAAUAGAAAACUGUUAAUAAAGAUGAACUUCUACAAAUGGUUAGAUUUGGUGCUGAAAUGGUUUUUAGCUCCAAGGACAGUACAAUAACUGAUGAGGAUAUCGAUCGUAUCAUAGCUAAAGGAGAAGAAGUGACUGCUGAACUUGAUGUGAAAAUGAAAAAGUUUACAGAGGAUGCGAUAAAGUUUAAGAUGGAUGACAGUAUGUUGAUUCCUUUCUGAUAGCAAUUCCUAGAUAUUUCCUUGGAUGACUUAUGUAAUUUCUAUUUUUUGUUACAGCUGCUAACUUGUUACGUGGUCAGAAUUCUAUUAUUUUGGUAUGAGUUUGAAAUCA
This is a long non-coding RNA of Zingiber officinale, 2864 nucleotides long. RefSeq lists it as uncharacterized. Lineage: Eukaryota; Viridiplantae; Streptophyta; Magnoliopsida; Zingiberales; Zingiberaceae. The record is from RefSeq and is a predicted model, not a curated record. The transcript is spliced from 5 exons.